GUCAAAACGACCGUCAUGCCAUUAGCGGGCGGGAGGGUGGUAACAAAAUCUAGAGCGAUGUGGGACCAGGGUCUCGUAUGGAGCUAUUCUUGUGCCAAUAAAAAUGAACGUACCUUUUCAAGAAACUAAUGAAAAUAUAAAUUGAAACUGAAUAAAAUAUCUUUGAAACUGAAAAAGAAUAACUCGCUGGCAAAUUUAUUGACUUCGUUUUUAAUACACUGCAUGUUUUGCUAACUAUUUCUCAUAUUUCUUUCGCUGAUCUGAACUUACAAAUGCGCUUCCAGAGUUUUCAUUUACGCUUCUGAUUUUUUCGUUUACGCUUCUGAAGUUUUCGUUCGCAAUUCUGACACAGACCUACCGUGUGGGCGGGCUUAACAGCGGUUUGCUCUCAUUGGCUAGUGAGAUUUAGAUUGACGGCUCCUUGAACCGGAAGGAGAGACUUCAGCGGCGCGAAUUUUGGGUUCUGUGACAGUCUAACAACAGUAGAGUAAAACACUAUAUUAAAGCACAUCAACAAUAUUUAUAAAACCGAGAUGAGUAAUCAGGAGCGGCACGGAGCGUCAUCAACAUCCUCAACCGCAGGGCAUUCGAGGCAGCCCGAGGGAAAAAGAGAAAUGUCACUUCUCCAGGAACAAGUGCAAGAAGAUAUCUUACAGCGUAUGCUAACCAAGUUUAACUUGAUUUUGUCGGAAUGAAGCUAUAGAUUUGGAUUACCUCCUGGAUGUUGCUCAGCAAGAACUUGCUUUGGCUAUUAAUGCAUCAAAUCAUGUUAACAUCCCAGAUAAUUUAAUUAGGGGUCUACAGGAGUUAAUCAACGUAGUUAAUAUAUCUCUGAAUUUGGAAGAGACUUCAGGAAACGCAUCAGAAAUUGUAACUUACACCUGGGGAAACAUGGGACGCCCACGUUUGGAAAUCAGCAGGGAUGACCUUAAAGAACUUCUCACUACUGCUCUUCCUGUAAAAACUCUUGCACAGCUCUGUGGUGUUUCAAGAAGAACAAUGAACAGAAGACUGAAGGAGCAGUCCCUCUCUGUCAGAGGCUGCUAAUCCAGCAUAUCAGAUAAUGAACUUGAUCGUGUGGUGAGAUCAAUAAAAAUAAGAAUGCCCCAUGCUGGUUACAGGCUAGUGAAAGGGGA
Molecule: long non-coding RNA, 1136 nt
Organism: Cyprinus carpio (common carp)
Lineage: Eukaryota; Metazoa; Chordata; Actinopteri; Cypriniformes; Cyprinidae
Exons: 3
Source: RefSeq, a predicted model, not a curated record